Molecule: unclassified non-coding RNA, 640 nt
Filed under: Hevea brasiliensis (rubber tree)
Lineage: Eukaryota; Viridiplantae; Streptophyta; Magnoliopsida; Malpighiales; Euphorbiaceae
Source: RNAcentral
AGGGUUUACACUUCACUCUGACUCUCAGAAUUUAAAACCUUCUCAUCAGAGUAGGCAAUAAUUCCCUCCCUUGUGUGUCCUCUGCUCACUCUCUAAAAUCAAACUGAACCACAAGCAGAAGCAUAAAACCCUAGUGGGUGUCUUGCGUUGUGUACAAUUUCUUCAUUUCUGUCUAUCUUUCUCACUUCUCAACUAAAAUGGGUUCAAGAAAUUUGGCUGUGGCAAUUGGGUUUGGGUUUUUGCUACUUGGAUUUGCAGUCUCAGACACACAGCAAGAUAAAACAGAAUGUGCAAGCCAACUUGUGGGUCUGUCGACUUGUCUUCCUUAUGUUGGUGGAACUGCUAAAGCUCCAACCUUGGAUUGCUGCGCUGGGCUUAAGCAAGUGCUAGAGAAAAGCAGAAAAUGCCUUUGUCUUCUAAUUAAAGAUCGUGAUGAUCCAACUAUUGGUGUCAAAAUCAAUGCUACUCUUGCUGCUACUCUUCCUAGUGCCUGCAACGCCCCUGCUAAUGUCACACAAUGCAUCGAUAUUCUGCACUUGUCUCCAAACUCGCCAGAUGCCAAGAUAUUUGCAGGAUUUGCCAACAUCACCAAAGGAAGCAACAGUACUGUUGCAUUGAUUUUGACACCAAUAGUUGGAUC